Molecule: ribosomal RNA, 117 nt
Filed under: Quinella sp. 1Q5
Lineage: Bacteria; Bacillati; Bacillota; Negativicutes; Veillonellales; Veillonellaceae
Source: RNAcentral
AGCGGUGAAGUUAGCUGAGUGGUUCCACCCGUUCCCAUUCCGAACACGGCAGUUAAGCACUCAUACGCCGAUUGUACUUGGGUGGCGACGCCCCGGGAGAUUAGGUAUUUGCCGCUA